RNAcentral lists this long non-coding RNA (686 nucleotides) under Nicotiana tabacum (common tobacco). RNAcentral's name for it is "long non-coding RNA (NTAB_LNC000856)". Lineage: Eukaryota; Viridiplantae; Streptophyta; Magnoliopsida; Solanales; Solanaceae. The record is from RNAcentral.
AAUUCCGCCCGAUUACAAUAUUUUUGUGUGCUAUUGCCCUCCCUUCCAAGUGGUUCCGGGACCCCCGGACCCCGAUCGCCUAAAAUUUUUCCGGGCCGUCAAAUACGACCUAAGGAACCAUAGUAACCGCCCCGCCAUCAUCGUUCCUCAUUUUUUGCAUUUUUCGGCCAAAAAACUAGAAUUUCGCCCGAUUCCCAUAUUUUCGUGUGCUAUACCAGGCCUUCCAAGUGGUCCGGGGAGCCGCAAACCCCUAUCGCCUAAAAUAUUUUCGGACUAUCAAAUACGACCUAAGGAACCAUAGUAUCCGCCCCGCCAUGAUCGUUCCUCAUUUUUUGCAUUUUUCGGCCAAACAACUAGAAUUUCGCGUGAUUCCCAUAUUUUUGUGUGUUAUAGCCCACGCCUUCCGAGUGGUCCCGGGACCUCCUGACCCCUAUCGCCUAAUAUUUUUCCGGACUAUCAAAUAAGACCAAAGGAACCAUAGUCACCACCCUACCAAGAUCUUUCCACAUUUGUUGCAUGUUACUGAAAAAGACCUAGAAUUUCGCACGAUUCCCAUAUUUUCGUGUGCUAUACCCACGCAUUCCGAGUGGUCCCAAGAGCUGCGGACCCCGAUCGCCUAAAAAUUUUUUCGGGCAAUCAAAUAUGACCUAAAGAACCAUAGUAUCCUCCCCGCCAUGAUCGUUCCU